CCGAUACCACUUUUGUCACGACUGGCAUCCGGUGCGUACUCAACUGAGCGCCACGUACUUUAUCCCAUAUUCUCCUUUUAUUUUUAUUAAACUUGUCACGGGCCAUGAUAGGCCACAUCUAUAUAUGUAAUUAACAAUAUUAGAACGUAACUCACAUAACUAAUUCAAAAGAUUUAUAUAGAUAUAUAGGGGCCGUCAAGGCCGUUGACAUGUCAUACCUAAAGCUAUACACAGGACACUGUCUGCAAAACCUCUAAGAAAACAUGAUCAUAAUAUAUAAGUUGAGACAGGGUCCCCGACAUCUUCAUAAAACAAAGUAACAUAUAUAGAACAUGACUCGACAAUACUCCAGGAAGAUGUGGAGCUCACCAACCAAAAGCUGAUAUAUGGAGGCAGCCUACAGUGGAUGGUCCUCACCUCGCCUAUCUACACCUGUGUGGCAUGAAACACAGCGUCCCAGGAAAAGGGACAUCAGCACGAAGAAUGUAAGGCAGAAAUGAAACAUAGUAAUAAUAAGAUACUAUCUCGAGGAGAGAUAAGAGUCAACUUAUAAUUUCUGACUUGCUGCUGAGGGCCGUACCAUGUAGAAUAAAACUCAUUCGUAUAAAUAAAUAAAAUUACGAUAUAAUAGUUCUGAUUAUAUCAUUCUCGUGGCGUUAACUGCCCAACUGAUCAGUAGUAACUGCCCGACCGGUCGUUGCACGGUGGUAAAUGCAUGACUGCCCAAUCGAUGAUAAAUAAUGAUACAUAACUGCCCAACCAGCCGGAGCCUGGUAGUAAAUGCAUGUCUGCCCAACUGGUCGUAGCACUGUGGUAAAUGAAUAUGUAUGACUGUCCAACCGACCGUAGCACGGUGGUAAAUAUGUAACUGCCCAACCGAUCGUAGCACGGUGGUAAAUGCAUAUACACGAAGAUGCAUGUAUUAGUGUAUUAUGAACAUUAACACCUUUAUAUGAAGAAAAUCAUUGUUGGUUCCGAAGUUAUUUUCUUUACUUCUCCUUAGUAAGUAAAACACAAACAUAGGAGAGUUCGGCAUAUUUACAUGCAUAUAGUACCUAAAGAAUUCAUGAGACAAAAAAGGACAUAAGAAUCUAGUGGUUUACAAUAAAUUUUGGAUCUCUCGUACCCUUUUCUUUCAAAGUCCCUUGAACACCUUAGAAAUGAAAUGUAUGGUCAAAUAGUGCAAAUCAUAAUUAUGUAACAAUACAGGAGCAUUUCCUAACCAUAAAUUCUCCUUAACCAUCCGUUUACUAAUCAAUGUGAAUUAUACAAGACACGUUCCCCAAAAGGCAAUUAUCUCAAAGACAAAAUUCUCCAAGCUUUAAAUGACAUAACUGUCAUUGAUUUUGUUAACGCCACUUCUUGUCUAAACUCUCAAAAUUUCCUUAGCUGAAAUUUGACCAGCAUUGAGUAAUAUAUUUGAAUGCACUCCACUUGACAUUACUAUUUCAUAUUCACCAAUUAAAAACUUCAUCUUUUUUAUUCAAGUAACAACAUACUCUUCAAUGUUAAGUUAGUGCCUUUAAUGGGAAAACUCUUAACAGCUAGUUCAAUAUAGCGAUUGACUCUCCAACUGAUCAACUCACCAAUCAACCAGCUACGCCUCAAUAGAGACUUAGGAACAUAUUUAGACAUGCUUGAAUAUCAUUUUACAUAAAUAAAUAACAUAGACAUCCUUAACUGCUAAGAGUAGAAUCACUUAUAGAAUAACAUUACGUUUACGUAUCGUUACUUGGAUCAUGCCAAAAGAAGGAAGGAUUAGCUUUAACAUACCUGAGUCGAUUCUCUUGAGAGAGAUUAUAGCAUACUCCCCUAAUAUUGCAAAAUCUCACGUUAAUUAAGUUGCUCUGGAAUCCCGGGUCUUGAAGCAUUGAAGACGCUAUAGAAUGCCAGACAUUUGAAUUCUUCCAAUUUCUUGAACUCUCACGUUAUCAGAUGGAUAUAUGAUCCAUUUUUAUGUCCUUAAGACAUAAUGUUAUUCCUUUUGCAAAAAGGUAUAUCAUUUAAGUCUUAAGAUAAGUUGCCACAUAGACAAAUGACUUUAAGAGUCAUUCCUAAGCUUAUGGUGGUGCUGCUACGUGGGGGAUUCUUAAUAUUAUAUUAUAAUUCAUUUAUUAAUUAGGUAAUGUUUUGUUACCCGAUAAUUAAUUAAUUUUCCAAAAUAUCUUAAAUUACUUAAAAUUCUACUUAUCUUAAUAUACUUUAUACAUCAUAUUAUCAUGGUCAUAAAGUACCUUGUAUGGUACUAGUCCAUAAAUAUCAGAUAUUAUAUCUCGGACCAUAUUUUAUCCCAAAAUAACAAACUUCGGCGAUACUCAAUUUCUUCAAUUCGUUAACCCUUUGACCUUUAUAACACUUGUCGCUUGUUACAAAUAGCAUAAAUGCUUAUGAUCUCAAAAUAAUCUCAUUCCCCACUCUAGAUCGAUUAACUUAUGACGAAACUUUAACGUACUAAAUGCGGGAUGUAACACUGACAAAACUAGGACCUCCCUCACCUUAUUUACAUAUGCGUGCUUAGAUGGCCUAUCUAUUAAAUGACUAAUUCACAUAAUUGAGUUCAGUCGGGACCCACCAUUGUGGACCGCGAGGGGUGCCUAAAACCUUACCCAAUCUCUGGUAAUGAAAACUUGUUAUAUGAGUUAAUUGCUCUAGGUGGCCUAGCACCUUAAUCUGUUAGGUGGCGACUCUUCAAAUACCAAAUUCCAAAAGGAAACGAGUUGUUCCCAAUGAAUGUCGAAACCUAGACUCCGCGAGGAAAAAGGGGCGUGCCCCAGCUGGGCGUUUUGAGAAUUUAAGAUCUGUUCAACUGUGUAAGGUCUUGAACAACUUCAUAUUAUGUGUAUCGACUUGCGUGCAUAUUGAAUUUAGUUACUGGAUGAUUCAGAGUCAAAUUGAAAGAACGAAUCUAGUUUUGGGAACUUAAUCGAUGAGAAUUUGACUGGAAUUUGAAAUUUGAGUAAAUGGCACCGAUUGAGGUCGGGGUCAUUGAUUGCUAUUUGGUUUCCUUUUCUUCGGUCAGUUCCCUACUUUUUGGUGCCGAAAUCGCGGGUGUCACACCUUCUUUUUACGGGGAAAGGAGUUUUUCCACUUUGAGGGAUAUUAUUGAAAUAAGAUUAUUUAUUUCAAUUAUAGAGUCGCCACUUGGAAUAAUUAUUGAGGUUUCUCCAGUCAGCGGUUUAUUUUAAAAUCCCAAUUCAAAGAAAAUUAGACUCCAUUAAAGUUUGUGAAACACAGAAGACCGGGUAAGGAAUUUUGUUGACCUGGAAGAAGGUGUGAGGCACUCCCAGAUUCUGUGGUUUUAACACAAUAGCUUUACAAUUAAACUCUGCUUAAUUAUCUGAUUAUUACAUAUUUUAACCUAUGUGCAUUCUUACCUUUUACCGCUUUAUUGUAUAUUUUAAGUAAUUAUGGAUUUUAUUUAAAAUAAGUUACAAUGUCGCGCAUUUGUUGUUUUAUACACAUUGCAAGUCAUGCCACGUGAAAUGCACCGGUUAUUUACAGUAUAUUAAUUAUUAAUUAUUUGAAUUUGUAGGGUGAAGUCACGUGAACGUGCACUUGAAUUUGAGAUUACAUAUCAUAAUUAUGCCACGAGAGCCGUAUCCAUAACCAUAAUAAUUAAAUUAUUCAAUACGCGCCUAAAGCAACUAGCGAUGUUCAUGAAUUAAUUUCCCUAAAACUAGUUUGGUAUUAUUGUGAGGCCAAGAGUUUAUGAAAAGUAAAUUAGUUAUGAAAAUAUGAGUUAAAGCCCGUUUGGCUUAGCUGAUUUAGAGUAGCUGAUAAGUAUUAGGUGCUGAAAAAUACUUUUAGGUCCAAACACCCUCUUAGCCUUGGCAGACUUACCUAUUUGGCAUAACUAUGUGAUGACCUCAACAAAAACCAGUUUGGGGAUGAUAAAUAUUCCCUUACACACAAAUCCUUUUGCUUUUAUUUUUAUCUACUUUAUCAAAACCCAUUCUUAGAUUCUAUGAACAAUAUAGUAUCCUAUCUUAAGAAACCAACAUCACAAGUAGCCAUUAAAUUAAUCCAAAAUAAAGAUGAAUAAGAUUGAGAAAUACCAAACACUAAGAUGGACAACUAACAUGGUAUACGACAGAACUAAUCUAAGACAAAGCAAGCAAGCAAAGUUGAAUAAACCUAGCUGUUAGCAAAUAAUUAAAACUCAUGGAACGUCCUCACCUAUCUUGAACAGAGCAAGCAGAAUGCUUCAAUCACUCAAUGAGCAAAAUAAGAAUCCAUACGUGCAUUCCUAAGAAUUCUGAGCUACCAAGAAGACACUUAAUUUUGAAAGCAUUUAAGAAAUAGAAUAAGGAACCAAAUCUCUAGCAGACUUCAAGAACGAGAGAAAUAAUUAGCACAUUUACACAAAAUCCACCUUAGUGGCCAGCCAUAGAAAAUCUGAUCAAUCCCCCUUAACAAUUCAACAUUAAUGAUCCGAUAACCACCAUAACAAUUGAUUAACAAAAUGAAAUCGCAUGUGAAAGCAUGCUAACAGAGAGAGGGGAUCCAUAAACAACAUUCAUCAAGCUGUUGUAAUAAGAUGAGAUAAGAACAAAAAGGACCUUUUAUAGAUGCAUCUGAACUUCGAUUCUUUGACAACUAUUGAAGCUUAAACACAAACAAAACCGCGUACAAGACCUCAACAAAAACUCGACCAAAUCGCCAGAAACGUAAAGUUGACUCAGGAAACUCACUAAACUCCAAUGACUUUACAUGGCUGAAAUGAAGCUUAAGCUGCAGCUCUUUUAAUGAUGUAAGAAGCUGGUUUACAGACUGCUUUAAGCUAGUUUCAAGCUGAGCUUUGUGGGGGUUUCACUGAUUUUUUGGUGAAGUAGUGGAUUUUCCCUGCUACUAUAAGUAAGGAGAAGUAGUCAUGUUUUCCUUUCCCGCUCCCCCCGUUUUUUCUCCUUUUUCUCCCAAUUCUCUUAUGUCCUCGUAUUUAGCUAUUACAAUGAUUUGUGAUAAAUUCCAUAAGCAUGUGUGGGCGAAAAUUAACUGAACAAGUGAGACAAUUUGAAAUAAAACUAGAUCUUCAGAAUUCUCAGCACAAACGUCUCCAUGAGUUUAAACAAACUUUUAAUAACUUGUAUGAAUAUAUGCAAAUCAAACAAAAUUUUACAUCUAAACGUUUGAAUAUUUAAUAAGCACAUGAAAAUCAAACGUCAAACAUGAGAAAAUAGUUCAUUAACAUAGAUGAGAUAGAAUUACUAAGUAAUUGAUAUGUUUACCUCUCAGUAGGAAAUACAAGAGCGAACAACCAAAUAAAAGCUGGGAUGUGAGAAUAGAGUUUAGACCAUUGAUUUUCAGCGAAGGACAACAAAGCAACAACAUUUUAGAUGCUCAAUCUACCUUCAAAAUUCCAGAAAUCAUGUGAUAAACUAAAAUAAUUUGAUGUUUUAAGAACUGCAGAUCUGAGCGAAAACUUUUUAAUUCAAGAAAAGUUUCCUAGCUUUUUUGUAUGUGUUCGUGAGUAGGUGUGUAUUUCUGGAGGUGUCAGUGAUUAAAGAUGAGAGUGAGGGUUUAUUUGUAGAAGUGUGGGUCAAUCCGUGUGAGGGGAGCUUCCUUCUCUUUCUUUUGGAGUGAAAUGAGGUGGGAUCGUUUCGGUAAGGGAAGAGAGAGAGAGACGGCUUCGUUUGAUGUUAAGGAAGGGGCUGGUCAGGUUAGUG
This 5663-nucleotide long non-coding RNA is filed under the name Nicotiana tabacum (common tobacco). Its description in RNAcentral is "long non-coding RNA (NTAB_LNC011226)". The record is from RNAcentral. Lineage: Eukaryota; Viridiplantae; Streptophyta; Magnoliopsida; Solanales; Solanaceae.